RNAcentral lists this long non-coding RNA (784 nucleotides) under Vigna radiata. RNAcentral describes it as "long non-coding RNA (VRAD_LNC003723)". Lineage: Eukaryota; Viridiplantae; Streptophyta; Magnoliopsida; Fabales; Fabaceae. The record is from RNAcentral.
GGGGCGGCCAGACCUAAUUUCACUCUCUAGAGAGGAUCUUUUGGAUGCUUAGGCUCUUUUUCAUCUUUUCUAGGGUUUGCUUUUUCAUUCUUCAUCCAUUUUUCAUCUAGUUUCACCAUGUCAAUGGUGAACUAAACCCUAUUGUUGUUGGGGGAAACAAUGUAAUCUUUUGAUACUCUCUUUUAUUGAAACUCUUGUUUAUUUAUAUGGUUUCCAUAUGCUUUGAUUGUUAAUUGUUGGGUUCUCAUCUGUGCUUAAUGCUUUUAUCGUUUAACUCAUUCGAUAACUGUUGUUUGUCUUUAUUGAUACGGGGACGUACAAUAAUGUCAUGAACUGGUGAGUAAUUCCUUGAUUAAGCAAUACCACCUAGGGAUAGGGGUAGGACGAUCAAUUGCUUUUAACUUCUGCUCUAUAAUGCUUUAUUAAUUGCUAGGGGAGGCUAGGGAUAACAAACCAGUAAUUAGUAAUAGGCUCUUUUCACCGAGAGAUUGGGUUAAGGGUAGGUUAAGAAAGUUGCAUGACAAUUAAUCAAUCAAACUAAUAAUUCAAGAGGAGUAAAUAAGAGAGAGCGGAUAAGAUGAAAUUGUAAACCCCCAACAACUUCAUUCAUCCAUUGUUUUCUUCUUGCCAAUUGAAUCAAUCUCUUUUGCAUGUUCAUAUUUUAUUCUUAAACUCAACUAAUUAAUUUUUCUUUUCAAGUCUUACGAUUUUAAUUCACGCGAACGAUAAGGCCUUUCGAGUCUCUUGGGAAAACGAUACUUGGACUUACCAUUUAUUAUUACUU